Molecule: transfer RNA, 19 nt
Filed under: Crotaphytus collaris
Lineage: Eukaryota; Metazoa; Chordata; Lepidosauria; Squamata; Crotaphytidae
Description: partial tRNA-Met
Source: RNAcentral
UUAAAUCCCUCCUGUACUA